AUCAAUCUUCAAUUUUUCAACAGAAACAAAAUAGUCAAUUUUAACAUUUUCUAGAAUCAAAGUAAUCAAGAGAAUCAAUAAAGGUAGAAUGAAGUUGGGCAAUGAAAUAUUUGAUGUAAAUGGAUGGAAAAUAAUACAAUAUUUGAAGUUUCUUUUCCUCAUAUGAUCAAACAACAUCUAUGAAUGUUCUUCUUCAGAAUAGCGACCGUGUGUCGACUAAACUUGAAAAUGGAUAUUGUCAAAUAACAAUAUCCUUCUCAUGAGGACAAAUAACAAUGGAUCUUCUUUGCAACCUUAUCCUUCUCAAUGUUCUCAUACUUUGAAGAAAAUCCUAAAUAAGAUGUGUCAUCUAAUAAAAUAUUUUGGUGGAAUUAAAUUUUUUGAUCGAUGUGGGUGUCAUAUUGGUUACGUGCGCUGUUGGAGAUAGCCUCGAGAUCGAUGCAAGAUCUUGUUCGGCUAUCUAUGUAUUUAAUGAUCAAGGUACACCGUCCGAUGGAAGAUAAACGAUGGGAGACGAGCAUGAAAUUUUAAUAUGAUCAACCUCGAGUGACGAUUCAUUUUAUCUUAUCUUAUCAAGUGUAUCCUUAAAAUUUAAAACUGGGCUCAUUUGCAUCCUUAAUAAGAAUAAGAGACGGAAAGAAAACCCUAGCAGUGUUGCAAUGGGCAGUCAUCUCAGACAUCUUCGUUUCAUGCUUCUCAGGUUUUAAGAUGCAAUAAGCAGAUCAACGCCUAAGUUUAGCUAGGUCUUAAUUUUCAAUACAUCUUUCAUUUCUCAUCGGCUAGAUCUUCUUUUUUGCAGCAAAAGAUCAUACUCGAUAACUACGGCGGAGGCUAGGGUGACGGUACAAAUAACGAAAGAUGCAGGUUGUUCUUCUAAUCAACACGGUGAUAGUUUUGAGAACAAGAUGUUCUGGAUGAGAGAUCCGAAGACGGGGUUUUGGAUUCCUGAGAAUCACUUCGAUGAUUUAGACGUGGCAGAUCUCAGACGACUUCGUCGGAUCGGAAAGUAGAACGACUGGCAAUAACUGACGGAUCUUUUCUUAUUUAUUUCCUUAUUAAAUUCCAAUCGACGUUUGUUUUGAGGGAGAAGAAAAAUAACGCAAAGUUUGAAUAUUUUUUAUUUUGAUUUUUCUCCUUCCAUAAAACUUAUUCAUACAAUUAGCCAUUACUUGCAAAAUAUCCAAAUAUAUCGAUCAGAUCGUGCUUUUCCACCACCUUGACGGUUUAAUAAGAUCGUG
Molecule: long non-coding RNA, 1238 nt
Filed under: Zostera marina
Lineage: Eukaryota; Viridiplantae; Streptophyta; Magnoliopsida; Alismatales; Zosteraceae
Description: long non-coding RNA (ZMAR_LNC005877)
Source: RNAcentral